Molecule: unclassified non-coding RNA, 329 nt
Filed under: soil metagenome
Description: partial contains 5.8S ribosomal RNA, internal transcribed spacer 2, and large subunit ribosomal RNA
Rfam family: 5.8S ribosomal RNA (bases 1-120)
Source: RNAcentral
GAUGAAGAACGUAGUGAAAUGCGAUAAGUAGUGUGAAUUGCAGACUUUAGUGAAUCAUCGAAUCUUUGAACGCACAUUGCGCUCCCUGGUAUUCCGGGGAGCAUGCCUGUUCGAGCGUCAUUACAACCCUCAAGCUCUGCUUGGUGUUGGGCCCCGCCGCCCCGGCGGGCCCUAAAGUCAGUGGCGGUGCCGUCCGGCUCCGAGCGUAGUAAUUUUUCUCGCUUUGGAGGCCCGGGCGCGUGCUUGCCAUCAACCCCCAAUUUUUUUCAGGUUGACCUCGGAUCAGGUAGGGAUACCCGCUGAACUUAAGCAUAUCAAUAAGCGGAGGA